Molecule: long non-coding RNA, 1368 nt
Filed under: Lathyrus oleraceus (garden pea)
Lineage: Eukaryota; Viridiplantae; Streptophyta; Magnoliopsida; Fabales; Fabaceae
Description: Pisum sativum (pea) long non-coding RNA (PSAT_LNC042285)
Source: RNAcentral
UCGAUCAAAUUAAACAUUUCUAAAAAUAGAUAAUCUCAUUCAAUAUUUGACCUAAUUCUUUAUCUAUAAAUAGCACACAUAUUCACACUUUUCAAUCAUCCUCAGUCUUACAAAAUCACUAUUCCUAAAGUUGUUACCAUCUCCGCAAUCUAAAUCCAGUAGGGCAAUCCCUGCAACCAAAAAUCUUGUAGAAACUAAAAGUUAUUUUUUUAAUUUGUUCGAGUCAUGUUUUGCAAUAAUUCAAGAAAAAUCAAACCAAACUAAUAUCCUUUAAAAUUCAAACAAUUUCAUUGUUUUUUUCUUUACUUACAAUAAUCUAAUCUUUUUGUAAUUAUAUCUAAAUAAAUAGUUAUUUUUUUCUAUCAAAUUUCAUUAGCAAAACAAAAAUUACUUUACAUCACCGGUACCACUUUCAUAAAAAAUUUGCUUAAAUCAAACCCGUCUGUCCUCUUCUAUUUGUUUAUCUUUUAGAAAAUCAAACUAUCAAAUAUAGUGAAAUUACUAAAAUCUAAGUCGAAUUGGUAUCUCCAGAAACCGAUCCGAAUCUAAAACCCCAUCCUGCAAAUUCAAAACGGUAUCCUGUAAAGAAAAAAAUCAAUUCAAAAUAAUAUCUUGUAAAAACUCAAUACAAGUUAAAAAUCAAAAUAUGUAUAAAUCUAAAAUCAAAACAAUUCCCUGUAACAACCACUCCAAACCAAGCCAAAAACCAAAUCGAAACAAAGUCGCAUCAAAAAAUCAAAUGGAUAGAAACAAAGAUGAAAUCAGAACAACAUCACAACCCGGCCCAUUUGCAAUCAAUACCUAAUUGAGCCAAGCAUCAAAACAGUAAUAUAACCGAAUCCGAAACGUGUUGAGGAUUGAAACCGACUUACAUCUGAACCACACAAGGUCCGAUGAACCGCACCUUUAUGGAAUACCGUUAAUGCGUGAAACCCUCUGUUGCCGUCAAUCGCGUCCGAUCAUCCCUCGGACUCCCUUUUCGUUUUGCCGGCAUCGUCACACGCACCUCGACCUGCCGAGCCGCCACACCGCUGGUAACAUCGUUCAUCAUCACCUCUGUUGCCGUCAAUCGCGUCCGAUCAUCCCUCGGACUCCCUUUUCGUUUUGCCGGCAUCGUCACACGCACCUCGACCUGCCGAGCCGCCACACCGCUGGUAACAUCGUUCAUCAUCAUUGUCGCAUGGGUUUUUUUUUCUCUUGCCGUGAUAUAUGAGGUGUUGGAGUUAAUUUGUUUAAGAAAGAGAUGAUUUUGUUAUGAGAAAAAUGGUGAAAGCAUUCAUGAGAGAUGAGGAAAACGUUGUUUUGGACCUGAAAACAUUAAUCCACCCUUUUGUUCUAUUUACUUACAUUUUUUAAAAAAGAAAGAAG